AUACUGGGCCUUCUCCAUGAUACUGAAACAAAUUAUAUGAGUGAUCCAGGAGUGCAGUAUUUGGUGGUGCUCGCCCACGAGAACUGGCUCUGAAGGAGCGAGGGCUAGACGAUGUUGGGAUCAACCAUGACUUGGUUCAACAAUCUGAUAGGCAGAUUGAACAUAAUGUUCCCAGGACUGAAAGAGUUCAUGGGCAUGCAAUUCCUGCACAUGACAGUGAAAAAACGGAGAAUCCUCUUCUUGAUCAAAGGACUGGGAAGAGAUUUGAGAGGAAAGAUCGGCGGCAAGACACUGAGAGAGUUGAUAUGCAGAGGAGGAACUGGCGUAAUGAGAGCCGGAGGAAAAACAGAGAGCCCAAGAAGCAGCAGCAGCAGGUAGAGAGGCCACCUUCACCCGAGACUUGGCGCAAACCUUUUGAGCAGCCAAAACCAGCCUCCCCUGACUCUAGUGGCCUGCGCUAUGGGAAAGCAGCUUCAGCCGUUGAGCUGGCUCAAGCAUACUCUAGAUCAGUCUCACAUCCAAAGACAGCCGAUCGCUUUUCAGUCCAAAGGGGCCUUCCUAGCCGGACCCAAAUGCCGUUUUCACGGCUGAUGGUUCCAACCCCAAGA
Non-coding RNA from Corylus avellana, 608 nucleotides. NCBI's taxonomy places the organism in Eukaryota, Viridiplantae, Streptophyta, Magnoliopsida, Fagales, Betulaceae. The record is from RefSeq and is a predicted model, not a curated record.